This 75-nucleotide transfer RNA is filed under the name Candidatus Bathyarchaeota archaeon. RNAcentral's name for it is "tRNA-Arg". It matches the Rfam family "tRNA". From Rfam's summary of the family: Transfer RNA (tRNA) molecules are approximately 80 nucleotides in length. Their secondary structure includes four short double-helical elements and three loops (D, anti-codon, and T loops). The record is from RNAcentral. Lineage: Archaea; Thermoproteati; Candidatus Bathyarchaeota.
GGGCCCGUGGCGCAGGCUGGACAGCGCAUCGGCCUUCUAAGCCGGGGGUCGCGGGUUCAAAUCCCGCCGGGCCCG